CCUACGGGAGGCAGCAGUAGGGAAUCUUCCACAAUGGGCGCAAGCCUGAUGGAGCAACACCGCGUGAGUGAAGAAGGGUUUCGGCUCGUAAAGCUCUGUUGUUGGAGAAGAACGUACGUGAGAGUAACUAUUCACGCAGUGACGGUAUCCAACCAGAAAGCCACGGCUAACUACGUGCCAGCAGCCGCGGUAAUACGUAGGUGGCAAGCGUUAUCCGGAUUUAUUGGGCGUAAGGCGAGCGCAGGCGGUUGUUUAGGUCUGAUGUGAAAGCCUUCGGCUUAACCGAAGAAGUGCAUCGGAAACCGGGCAACUUGAGUGCAGAAGAGGACAGUGGAACUCCAUGUGUAGCGGUGGAAUGCGUAGAUAUAUGGAAGAACACCAGUGGCGAAGGCGGCUGUCUGGUCUGCAACUGACGCUGAGGCUCGAAAGCAUGGGUAGCGAACAGGAUUAGAUACCCCAGUAGUC
This 465-nucleotide ribosomal RNA is filed under the name uncultured bacterium. RNAcentral describes it as "partial 16S ribosomal RNA". It matches the Rfam family "Bacterial small subunit ribosomal RNA", at positions 338 to 795 of the family's 1533-position model. The record is from RNAcentral.